Molecule: non-coding RNA, 713 nt
Organism: Callithrix jacchus (white-tufted-ear marmoset)
Lineage: Eukaryota; Metazoa; Chordata; Mammalia; Primates; Cebidae
Source: RefSeq, a predicted model, not a curated record
UCUUUAGAGAUUUUUGGGGACUGGCCCUCACAGCCCGGCUUUGGAUAAAUUAUUGGUUCAAGAAUUCAGCUUUGAAUUCAGUCUUCCCAGAGGAUCUUCCGGGCCUCCGGUUUGGCUAUUCAGUCUUUCCAGACUCUGAGUAACAUCAUGGAACUCACACAACGUGCCACUAAUAAUGCUGAAAGCAUUCCCAGAAAGUAAACACAUGGCGUUACUAGAGGAAGCUGAACUGCUUGAUACGUGCCAUCGACUGAUGUAUACAGCUAUGGCAUCUGCCAUUUCAGAUGGAGGAUUCAUCUUGGAAACAGACAACAGAAACUUACGGGCUGUAGCGUCAUCACAGGGCCCUGACUGCUCCUUGCAGGGACAGAACACCUCAUCUCACCUGAAUCAAGUUGACCUGAUGGGGUUGCCACAGGCUGAUAGCACAGGAAUGCCAGAGUCCUUGUCCAAGCAGCUGUGAGACUUGGGAGGAGAACUUGACGUCUCAGAGCCAGGCCUGAUGAUCUCCAAGGGUGCUCAGAGGAGGCUGAAACUUUGCCUCUACAGCAUUGCCAUCCAAUAAAAACGACGCAAGCCACAUACAUGCAUGUACGUUUUCUAGUAGCCCAUUUCAAAAGGAAAAAAGAAACCAGAAACAGUUGAUACAACGUGGGGAGAAAUGCCAGAUACAGGCGUUGGGGAUGGAGGCAGCAAACCACAUUGCCAUGUAU